Molecule: ribosomal RNA, 350 nt
Filed under: uncultured archaeon
Lineage: Archaea
Description: bacterial SSU rRNA
Rfam family: Archaeal small subunit ribosomal RNA
Source: RNAcentral
CCUAACCUAUGGACGGGAAUAACCUCGGGAAACUGAGAAUAAUGCCCGAUAGAACACUAUACCUGGAAUGGUUUGUGUUCCAAAUGAUUUAUCGCCGUAGGAUGGGACUGCGGCCUAUCAGUUUGUUGGUGAGGUAAUGGCCCACCAAGACUAUUACAGGUACGGGCUCUGAGAGGAGUAGCCCGGAGAUGGGUACUGAGACACGGACCCAGGCCCUAUGGGGCGCAGCAGGCGAGAAAACUUUGCAAUGUGCGAAAGCACGACAAGGUUAAUCCGAGUGGUUUCUGCUAAAGGAACCUUUUGUCGGUCCUAGAAACACCGAUGAAUAAGGGGUGGGCAAGUUCUGGUGU